RNAcentral lists this ribosomal RNA (468 nucleotides) under uncultured bacterium. RNAcentral's name for it is "partial 16S ribosomal RNA". It matches the Rfam family "Bacterial small subunit ribosomal RNA", at positions 28 to 507 of the family's 1533-position model. The record is from RNAcentral.
GACGAACGCUGGCGGCGUGCUUAACACAUGCAAGUCGAACGGAAAGGCCCUGCGUUUGUUGGGUGCUCGAGUGGCGAACGGGUGAGUAACACGUGAGUAACCUGCCCUUGACUUUGGGAUAACUUCAGGAAACUGGGGCUAAUACCGGAUAGGAGCUCCUGCUGCAUGUUGGGGGUUGGAAAGUGUCGGCGGUUGGGGAUGGACUCGCGGCUUAUCAGCUUGUUGGUGGGGUAGUGGCUUACCAAGGCUUUGACGGGUAGCCGGCCUGAGAGGGUGACCGGCCACAUUGGGCCUGAGAUACGGCCCAGACUCCUACGGGAGGCAGCAGUGGGGAAUCUUGCACAAUGGGCGGACGCCUGAUGCAGCAACGCCGCGUGCGGGAUGCCGGCCUUCGGGUUGUAAACCGCUUUCGACUGUGACGAAGCGUGAGUGACGGUAAUGGGUAAAGAAGCACCGGCUAACUACGUG